This is a long non-coding RNA of Myotis davidii, 802 nucleotides long. RefSeq lists it as uncharacterized. The transcript has 3 exons. Lineage: Eukaryota; Metazoa; Chordata; Mammalia; Chiroptera; Vespertilionidae. The record is from RefSeq and is a predicted model, not a curated record.
CUCCUCCUCCUCUGCCCGCGCCGUCCCUCCUCCAGCCCCGGGGCCUGCACAAAGCUGCUCAGAGCUUCGUUCUCUCCUCGCCCCGUGUUCAAGGCCCGGGUCUAACCUAGGGAGGGCCACCCAGCCAGCUUCGCCCCCUGCACUGCCCCAGAGCCUGAGCCUGGACCUGGGUCCGCCCGGGAGGCGCAGGCCUGGAGGGAAGGCCCGGAAGGGAGCGGGGCUUCAGCUGCAGGCAGCGCCCAGAUGGCGGCCGAGCUCUGCGUCCAGUCCGGGGGCUUGCAGCCUGGCAGUCCCCUCACCCCCACCCCCUCAUGGACCUGCUGCCAAGAGAAGGUGGCUACCUUGCUCCUGGGUGCCAGCGGUGUCCGUCCCCAGCUGCCAUGCGUCCUCCCCCAGCUGCGGGACCUGCUAUGAUUUCAUACAGAUCUGUAGACAGCCAUAGGUACCAGCGCGCAGUCCUCGCAGGCACACUGUCAAGGUCUCCCACGGCCUGUUUCCUGAUCUUAGAGCGCCCCCUGUGGAAAGGACGCUCCUACUGCCCUGGCUGCACAGGCUUCCUGCCCACCGGGAGCGCAUCUCAGCGUUCGUGGGCCUGAGACCACCGCACCCGCCCCUCCGCCUACGUGCUGCGCUGCCUUCGAUCCUUGGUCUGGCUUCUGGUUGACCAUCCCAGAACCAAUUCCACUUUGAAUAUUAGGGAGGGCUCCGAAGAGGUGUCCGUGCGUGUCCUCCCAAAUAACACCUUGGGGUGUCUGGAGAAGAGGGAGAGAAGCAAGCUCUGAUUCCAUGAUGCCAUGAUGAA